GACGAACGCUGGCGGCGUGCUUAACACAUGCAAGUCGAGCGGUAAGGCCCUUUCGGGGGUACACGAGCGGCGCACGGGUGAGUAACACGUAGACAACCUGCCUUCCAGUCCGGGACAACCUUUCGAAAGAAGGGCUAAUACCGGAUAACACUUUGGGCCGCAUGGCCCGGGGUUGAAAGAUUCAUCGCUGGAAGAGGGGUCUGCGGGACAUUAGCUCGUUGGCGGGGGUAACGGCCCACCAAGGCGACGAUGUCAGCGGGUCGUGAGAGGAUGAUCCGCCACACUGGAACU
RNAcentral lists this ribosomal RNA (291 nucleotides) under uncultured bacterium. Its description in RNAcentral is "partial 16S ribosomal RNA". It matches the Rfam family "Bacterial small subunit ribosomal RNA", at positions 28 to 320 of the family's 1533-position model. The record is from RNAcentral.